UAAAUCAGUUAUCGUUUAUUUGAUAGUACCUUACUACUUGGAUAACCGUGGUAAUUCUAGAGCUAAUACAUGCUAAAAACCCCAACUUCGGGAGGGGUGUAUUUAUUAGAUAAAAAACCAAUGCCCUUCGGGGCUCUUUGGUGAUUCAUGAUAACUUAACGGAUCGCAUGGCCUUGCGCCGGCGACGGUUCAUUCAAAUUUCUGCCCUAUCAACUUUCGAUGGUAAGGUAUUGGCUUACCAUGGUUUCAACGGGUAACGGGGAAUUAGGGUUCGAUUCCGGAGAGGGAGCCUGAGAAACGGCUACCACAUCCAAGGAAGGCAGCAGGCGCGCAAAUUACCCAAUCCCGACACGGGGAGGUAGUGACAAUAAAUACUGAUACAGGGCUCUUUUGGGUCUUGUAAUUGGAAUGAGUACAAUUUAAACCCCUUAACGAGGAACAAUUGGAGGGCAAGUCUGGUGCCAGCAGCCGCGGUAAUUCCAGCUCCAAUAGCGUAUAUUAAAGUUGUUGCAGUUAAAAAGCUCGUAGUUGAAACUUGGGCCUGGCUGUCUGGUCCGCCUCACCGCGUGUACUGGUUCGGCCGGGCCUUUCCUUCUGGAGAGCCUCAUGCCCUUCACUGGGUGUGUUGGGGAACCAGGACUUUUACUUUGAAAAAAUUAGAGUGUUCAAAGCAGGCCUUUGCUCGAAUACGUUAGCAUGGAAUAAUAGAAUAGGACGUGCGAUCCUAUUUUGUUGGUUUCUAGGACCGCCGUAAUGAUUAAUAGGGAUAGUCGGGGGCAUCAGUAUUCAAUUGUCAGAGGUGAAAUUCUUGGAUUUAUUGAAGACUAACUACUGCGAAAGCAUUUGCCAAGGAUGUUUUCAUUAAUCAGUGAACGAAAGUUAGGGGAUCGAAGACGAUCAGAUACCGUCGUAGUCUUAACCGUAAACUAUGCCGACUAGGGAUCGGGCGAUGUUAUUAUUUUGACUCGCUCGGCA
RNAcentral lists this ribosomal RNA (975 nucleotides) under Clohesyomyces sp. RNAcentral describes it as "SSU rRNA". It matches the Rfam family "Eukaryotic small subunit ribosomal RNA", at positions 102 to 1085 of the family's 1831-position model. Lineage: Eukaryota; Fungi; Ascomycota; Dothideomycetes; Pleosporales; Lindgomycetaceae. The record is from RNAcentral. RNAcentral also lists the same sequence under 2 other names.